CCAAAUCCCAUCAUCACCCUAAAUGACUUUAGAAACCUAAGAACCUCCAGCCAUUUCUUACUUGCAACAAAACUUCAGCCAACCAGAAAAUCAAAGUCAAUCGUCUUUUGCAAAACUUACAAUUGCUUCCGCUGCUACUUACAAUCACUGCCAGAUAACUGAAAAAUUACACGACUUGACCACCACCCUAAGAAAGCUCACGAUCCUACGAAUCUCCACCAUGUCCGUAAAAAAAUUAAAAAUAAAAAAGACCAGUUAAAAUAAGCAACCUUCACAACUACUAGAUUAAGAAUCACGUAAGGUGAAAGUAGGAAUGUGAAGUCGGUACAAAAUUUGCACCAUACAGACGAGGAAGGAAGAAUACAGAAUAAUCAUCCGAUCAAGUUAUGUCCUAUAUCAAAUACUCAAAUCUAUAACAACAGAAACUUGGGUAAUACCAUUUUCCAACAUUUACAGUGACGCAAGUAACCUUAACCUCAAAGGCCAGAUAUCGUUGGACACCUAGACAGAGAACUAUUCCGCUUAACCAAAAAAAAAAUUAGACAAGGCACUGCACUAUAGACUCUGUUCCAUCCACCCUAAGAAUGUUUCUUCUGUAAUAAAAGAACUACCUAUUGUCAAACUACCUUUGACAGAAUCACUUGAUUUCCUAAAAUGCUUAUGAUAGAAAAUGAAAACUGCAUCACAAUAACAUAGUUUGCUCAAAAAAUAGUCAAAGUCAGCUCAUAAACAUGAACAUAACAGCUAUGGAAGAGCUGCUCCGACCCAGACCAACCCCACCCUCCACCUCCCCCACCAAAAUAAAUAUAUAUAUAUAUAUAUAUUUUUCCCCAUAGAUAAUCUUAUUAGAAGAGAUUUUGAAUUUUCAAGAAAUAGGAAUCUAAUGAUUGUGUUGGAAUCUCUGAUGACGAUCUUCCACAUUUAACACAUUGAAUGACUGAAAGUGGGAUAGAAUUGUCAUUACACAAAGGAUGUCCCCAAUUUUUAUGAGAAACCUAAAGUUUGAGGCAGAAUACAAGGAUGUCUUUAUUUGGAAAAAGUAUAAUCAGAUUAGGAUUAUGCUCAAUAGUUGGUCCUCCUAAACAUAGUUGGUCUACUGUCCUAAAUCUGAAUAUAAAAUUGUGCUGUCCAUACAUAUAUAAAUCUAGGAUCACAAAAUCAUUUCAAACCCC
RNAcentral lists this long non-coding RNA (1172 nucleotides) under Panax ginseng (ginseng). Its description in RNAcentral is "long non-coding RNA (PGIN_LNC009337)". The record is from RNAcentral. Lineage: Eukaryota; Viridiplantae; Streptophyta; Magnoliopsida; Apiales; Araliaceae.